RNAcentral lists this ribosomal RNA (464 nucleotides) under Haptophyta environmental samples. RNAcentral describes it as "SSU rRNA". It matches the Rfam family "Eukaryotic small subunit ribosomal RNA", at positions 432 to 900 of the family's 1831-position model. The record is from RNAcentral. Lineage: Eukaryota; Haptophyta.
GCGCGUAAAUUGCCCGAAUCCUGACACAGGGAGGUAGUGACAAGAAAUAACAAUACAGGGCUAUCUUAGUCUUGUAAUUGGAAUGAGUACAAUUUACAUCUCUUCACGAGGAUCAAUUGGAGGGCAAGUCUGGUGCCAGCAGCCGCGGUAAUUCCAGCUCCAACAGCGUAUAUUAAAGUUGUUGCAGUUAGAACGCUCGUAGUCGGAUUUCGGGGCAGUCCGACCGGUCUGCCGAUGGGUAUGCACUGGCCGGAGUGUCCUUUUUGCCGGAGACCGUGCCUACUCUUAACUGAGCGGGGGCGGGAGACGGCACUUUUACUUUGGAAAAAUCAGAGUGUUUCAAGCAGGCAGCUCGCUCUUGCAUGGAUUAGCAUGGGAUAAUGAAAUAGGACUUUGGUGCUAUUUUGUUGGUUUCGAACACCGAAGUAAUGAUGAGUAGGGACAGUCAGGGGCACUCGUAUUCC